Molecule: ribosomal RNA, 442 nt
Filed under: uncultured bacterium
Lineage: Bacteria
Description: partial 16S ribosomal RNA
Rfam family: Bacterial small subunit ribosomal RNA
Source: RNAcentral
CCUACGGGUGGCAGCAGUGGGGAAUAUUGGGCAAUGGGCGAAAGCCUGACCCAGCAACGCCGCGUGAAGGAAGAAGGCUUUCGGGUUGUAAACUUCUUUUGACAGGGAAGAGCAGAAGACGGUACCUGUCGAAUAAGCCACGGCUAACUACGUGCCAGCAGCUGCGGUAAUACGUAGGUGGCAAGCGUUGUCCGGAUUUACUGGGUGUAAAGGGCGUGUAGCCGGGCUGAGAAGGCAGAUGUGAAAUCCGGGGGCUCAACCCCCGAACUGCAUUUGAAACUGUUGGUCUUGAGUAUCGGAGAGGCAGGCGGAAUUCCUAGUGUAGCGGUGAAAUGCGUAGAUAUUAGGAGGAACACCGGUGGCGAAGGCAGCCUGCUGGACGACAACUGACGGUGAGGCGCGAAAGCGUGGGGAGCGAACAGGAUUAGAUACCCCAGUAGUC